RNAcentral lists this ribosomal RNA (533 nucleotides) under Chloroflexota bacterium. RNAcentral's name for it is "partial 23S ribosomal RNA". It matches the Rfam family "Bacterial large subunit ribosomal RNA", at positions 2397 to 2925 of the family's 2925-position model. The record is from RNAcentral. Lineage: Bacteria; Bacillati; Chloroflexota.
GUCGAAAGACGGGCUUAGUGAUCCCACGGUUCCGAGUGGAAGGGCCGUGGCUUACCGGAUAAAAUCUACCCCGGGGAUAACAUGCUAGUCUCCUCCAAGAGUUCACAUCGACGGGGAGGCUCGGCACCUCGAUGUCGGCUCGUCGCAUCCUGGGGCUGGAUACGGUCCCAAGGGUUGGGCUGUUCGCCCAUUAAAGCGGCACGUGAGCUGGGUUCAGACCGUCGUGAGACAGGUCGGUCUCUAUCCGCUGUGGGCGUAGGGGACUUGAAGGGAGCUGCUCUCAGUACGAGAGGACCAGAGUGGACAGACCUCUAGUGUGCCAGUUGUCCCGCCAGGGGCAUCGCUGGGUAGCUACGUCUGGCAGAGAUAACCGCUGAAAGCAUCUAAGUGGGAAACUCGCCCUAAGAUGAGGUCCCCCAUCCCUCCUUAUUGGAGGGAGUAAGACCGCCGGAAGACUACCGGUUUGAUAGGCGGGAGGUGUAAGCACAGCAAUGUGUUCAGCUAACCCGUACUAACGGUCGAGGACUUACGAU